Molecule: ribosomal RNA, 480 nt
Filed under: uncultured bacterium
Lineage: Bacteria
Description: partial 16S ribosomal RNA
Rfam family: Bacterial small subunit ribosomal RNA
Source: RNAcentral
GAUGAACGCUAGCGGCAGGCCUAACACAUGCAAGUCGAGGGGGAGGUUACUUUCGGGUAACUGAGACCGGCGUACGGGUGCGUAACGCGUAUACAAUCUGCCUUUCACUGGGGGAUAGCCCGAAGAAAUUUGGAUUAAUACCCCAUAGUAUAGUAAUACGGCAUCGUGAUGCUAUUAAAGCUUUGGUGGUGAAAGAUGAGUAUGCGUUCUAUUAGCUAGUUGGAGAGGUAACGGCUCCCCAAGGCGAUGAUAGAUAGGGGUUCUGAGAGGGAUGUCCCCCACACUGGUACUGAGAUACGGCCCAGACUGAGACGGGAGGCAGCAGUGAGGAAGAGUGGACAAUGGUCGGAAGACUGAUCCAGCCAUGCCGCGUGCAGGAUGAAGGUGUUAUGGAUUGUAAACUGCUUUUGUAAGGGACGAAUAAGGGCUACGAGUAGUUUGAUGACGGUACCUUACGAAUAAGCAUCGGCUAACUCCGUG